UAGGGAAUCUUCGGCAAUGGGGGCAACCCUGACCGAGCAACGCCGCGUGAGUGAAGAAGGUUUUCGGAUCGUAAAGCUCUGUUGUAAGAGAAGAACGUGUGUGAGAGUGGAAAGUUCACACAGUGACGGUAACUUACCAGAAAGGGACGGCUAACUACGUGCCAGCAGCCGCGGUAAUACGUAGGUCCCGAGCGUUGUCCGGAUUUAUUGGGCGUAAAGCGAGCGCAGGCGGUUUAAUAAGUCUGAAGUUAAAGGCAGUGGCUUAACCAUUGUUCGCUUUGGAAACUGUUAAACUUGAGUGCAGAAGGGGAGAGUGGAAUUCCAUGUGUAGCGGUGAAAUGCGUAGAUAUAUGGAGGAACACCGGUGGCGAAAGCGGCGCUCUGGUCUGAAACUGACGCUGAGGCUCGAAAGCGUGGGGAGCAAACAGG
RNAcentral lists this ribosomal RNA (429 nucleotides) under bacterium. RNAcentral's name for it is "partial 16S ribosomal RNA". It matches the Rfam family "Bacterial small subunit ribosomal RNA", at positions 355 to 776 of the family's 1533-position model. The record is from RNAcentral.